AGUGAACGCUGGCGGUAGGCCUAACACAUGCAAGUCGAACGGCAGCACAGUAAGAGCUUGCUCUUACGGGUGGCGAGUGGCGGACGGGUGAGGAAUACAUCGGAAUCUACUUUUUCGUGGGGGAUAACGUAGGGAAACUUACGCUAAUACCGCAUACGACCUACGGGUGAAAGCAGGGGAUCUUCGGACCUUGCGCGAUUGAAUGAGCCGAUGUCGGUUUAGCUAGUUGGCGGGGUAAAGGCCCACCAAGGCGACGAUCCGUAGCUGGUCUGAGAGGAUGAUCAGCCACACUGGAGCUGAGACACGGUCCAGACUCCUACGGGAGGCAGCAGUGGGGAAUAUUGGACAAUGGGCGCAAGCCUGAUCCAGCCAUACCGCGUGGGUGAAGAAGGCCUUCGGGUUGUAAAGCCCUUUUGUUGGGAAAGAAAAGCAGCAGGUUAAUACCCCGCUGUUCUGACGGUACCCAAAGAAUAAGCACCGGCUAACUUCGUG
RNAcentral lists this ribosomal RNA (492 nucleotides) under uncultured bacterium. RNAcentral describes it as "partial 16S ribosomal RNA". It matches the Rfam family "Bacterial small subunit ribosomal RNA", at positions 29 to 507 of the family's 1533-position model. The record is from RNAcentral.